UACGUAGGGGGCGAGCGUUGUCCGGAAUCAUUGGGCGUAAAGAGCGUGUAGGCGGCCCGGUAAGUCCGCUGUAAAAGUCAAAGGCUCAACCUUUGAAUGUCAGUGGAUACUGCCGGGCUAGAGUCCGGAAGAGGCGAGUGGAACUCCUGGUGUAGCGGUGGAAUGCGCAGAUAUCAGGAAGAACACCAACGGCGAAGGCAGCUCGCUGGGACGGUACUGACGCUGAGACGCGAAAGCGUGGGUAGCAAACAGG
This 253-nucleotide ribosomal RNA is filed under the name uncultured bacterium. RNAcentral describes it as "partial 16S ribosomal RNA". It matches the Rfam family "Bacterial small subunit ribosomal RNA", at positions 524 to 776 of the family's 1533-position model. The record is from RNAcentral.